AUGGAAGACAUAGUAACAAAUAGAAUUAGUCAACGGGGCUUGGUCUGCUCCGGUUUCUUCAUCUCCUCGGACGCCUGCAUGCUCGCCGUGGGCAGGCCGCCGCCGUCGCUGGCGUCUCUUCCUCCUCGGCCAUCACAUCUGGUGUAUGGUUUGCGAUCGCGCGGUCGUGGACGCGCCGUCGCCUCCUGGGGCGUUCCUUCUGGAUCCCUCCUGGUGCCUCCUGGUGCGAGGCCUCCCUGCCCAAGUGGUGUUUGUGGACCCUUGUACGUGUAUGUGGUUCCUCGCCUGAUACACAAGAGAGAUAGAUGA
RNAcentral lists this ribosomal RNA (309 nucleotides) under Triticum aestivum (bread wheat). RNAcentral describes it as "partial small subunit ribosomal RNA". Lineage: Eukaryota; Viridiplantae; Streptophyta; Magnoliopsida; Poales; Poaceae. The record is from RNAcentral.